AUUGAACGCUGGCGGCAGGCCUACCACAUGCAAGUCGAACGAGUGGCGGACGGGUGAGUAAUGUCUGGGAAACUGCCUGAUGGAGGGGGAUCACUACUGGACACGGUAGCUCAUACCGCAUACCAUCGGAUGUGCCCAGAUGGGAUUAGCUAGUAGGUGGGGUAAAGGCUAACCUAGGCGACGAUCCCUAGCUGGUCUGAGAGGAUGACCAGCCACACUGGAACUGAGACACGGUCCAGAGUCCUACGGGAGGCAGCAGUGGGGAAUAUUGCACAAUGGGCGCAAGCCUGAUGCAGCCAUGCCGCGUGUAUGAAGAAGGCCUGCGGGUUGUAAAGGACUGUCAGCGGGGAGGCGGUACCCGCAGAAGAAGCACCGGCUAACUCCGUGCCAGCCGCCGCGGUAAUUC
This 406-nucleotide ribosomal RNA is filed under the name uncultured bacterium. RNAcentral describes it as "partial 16S ribosomal RNA". It matches the Rfam family "Bacterial small subunit ribosomal RNA", at positions 29 to 526 of the family's 1533-position model. The record is from RNAcentral.